UGCAGGAUGGAGCAGUUGGUAGCUCGUUUGGUUCAUACCCAAAAGGUCGCGGGUUCGAGCCCCGCUCCUGCAA
Molecule: transfer RNA, 73 nt
Filed under: Bacteroidales bacterium
Lineage: Bacteria; Pseudomonadati; Bacteroidota; Bacteroidia; Bacteroidales
Description: tRNA-Met
Rfam family: tRNA
About the family: Transfer RNA (tRNA) molecules are approximately 80 nucleotides in length.
Source: RNAcentral